GGACCCGAAAGAUGGUGAACUAUGCGUGGAUAGGGUGAAGCCAGGAGAAAUCCUGGUGGAGGCUCGCAGCGGUUCUGACGUGCAAAUCGAUCGUCAAAUCUGCGCAUGGGGGCGAAAGACUAAUCGAACCAUCUAGUAGCUGGUUACCGCCGAAGUUUCCCUCAGGAUAGC
Molecule: ribosomal RNA, 171 nt
Filed under: Oryza glaberrima (African rice)
Lineage: Eukaryota; Viridiplantae; Streptophyta; Magnoliopsida; Poales; Poaceae
Description: rRNA EPlOGLG00000000181
Rfam family: Eukaryotic large subunit ribosomal RNA
Source: RNAcentral